UCACUGACUUGCUAACAUUAACUCACCACCUGAUUGAGUUGAAUUAUUAUUACUAACCACCGAGUUUCCAGGCCGAGGUGGCAAUAAGUGGCCUAGUAUGCCACCCGAGCAACAGACACCCAUUAUUUUCCUCCACUCGAUACCCAUCACCGCCUGCAAAUAGUGCUAGUAACAUACUCGCUUGUUUAAACGCGUUUGAACCCAUGUGAACCGGGUCAAACCCUGCCGAUUCCAUCCGUGUCCGCCAAUGACUCAAUGUCUCAUGCCGCUCAACUCGGUCGGCACCAUCACAGGCCACCACGUUGCAUAUCUGCCUCCCUAAGUAUAACUCGGACAUGAUAAUGUCCUGACUCGGCACAGCCAACCCGGAUCCUUCCAACGAGUCAAACAAGCUGGAAUAAUAAUGCAAAGCUUCAGUGAACCGGUCUACAAAAACAGGGCCAUUGUGGUUAGCUUCUUGCUCAACAAUGGUCACAAUCUUGGGCUUCAUGGCCUUGAUGGAGGAAAGCACCCUAUCGAUCCCACCGGGUCGAGCCAGGAGGCGGUGAAGCUCAAAGACGGAAUUGACGGCGACUGUCUCCACUUCCGGGGGGCGGAGGUCGAGCAUUUCCGGCUGGAGAUCCGCCAAACUGUUGGCUACAAAGCCGCGGAAUUCGAAUUCAACGCCAAUAGUUUCAGCCAACUGCGCUAGCUUCCAACCCACUUGCUGCAAAGCAGCGGUGUUGUUAGGCUGCGGUGGGCCAAUUCCGGUUAAACGGAAAGCCGGCGGCCCACCUGGGCGUAAAGCAAGCGCUUGCAUUAGUGCCGGCCACUGCAUCCCCUGCUUCAGACCGAAAUCGAUCACAUGAACUCUACU
Molecule: unclassified non-coding RNA, 856 nt
Filed under: Hevea brasiliensis (rubber tree)
Lineage: Eukaryota; Viridiplantae; Streptophyta; Magnoliopsida; Malpighiales; Euphorbiaceae
Source: RNAcentral